This 254-nucleotide ribosomal RNA is filed under the name uncultured bacterium. RNAcentral's name for it is "partial 16S ribosomal RNA". It matches the Rfam family "Bacterial small subunit ribosomal RNA", at positions 524 to 776 of the family's 1533-position model. The record is from RNAcentral.
UACGGGGGGAGCAAGCGUUGUUCGGAUUUACUGGGCGUAAAGGGUGCGUAGGCGGCCACCGCAAGUCGAUUGUGAAAUCUCCGGGCUUAACCCGGAAAGGUCAACCGAUACUGCGGGGCUAGAGUGCGGAAGGGGCAACUGGAAUUCUUGGUGUAGCGGUGAAAUGCGUAGAUAUCAAGAGGAACACCUGCGGCGAAGGCGGGUUGCUGGGCCGACACUGACGCUGAUGCGCGAAAGCUAGGGGAGCGAACGGG